This 24-nucleotide non-coding RNA is filed under the name Mus musculus (house mouse). The record is from RNAcentral. Lineage: Eukaryota; Metazoa; Chordata; Mammalia; Rodentia; Muridae.
UAGGCUCAUAGGCCGCCCCACUAG